GACAGAGGGUGCAAGCGUUGUUCGGAAUUACUGGGCGUAAAGCGCGUGUAGGCGGCCCUGCAAGUCGGAUGUGAAAGCCCUGGGCUCAACCGAGGAAGUGCAUUCGAAACUGCAAAGCUAGAGUCUCGGAGAGGAUAGUGGAAUUCUCGGUGUAGAGGUGAAAUUCGUAGAUAUCGAGAGGAACACCGGUGGCGAAGGCGGCGAUCUGGACGAUGACUGACGCUGAGACGCGAAAGCGUGGGGAGCAAACAGG
RNAcentral lists this ribosomal RNA (253 nucleotides) under uncultured bacterium. RNAcentral's name for it is "partial 16S ribosomal RNA". It matches the Rfam family "Bacterial small subunit ribosomal RNA", at positions 524 to 776 of the family's 1533-position model. The record is from RNAcentral.